AUUGAACGCUGGCGGCAGGCCUAACACAUGCAAGUCGAACGAGUGGCGGACGGGUGAGUAAUGUCUGGGAAACUGCCUGAUGGAGGGGGAUAACUACUGGAAACGGUAGCUAAUACCGCAUACCAUCGGAUGUGCCCAGAUGGGAUUAGCUAGUAGGUGGGGUAACGGCUCCCCUAGGCGACGAUCCCUAGCUGGUCUGAGAGGAUGACCAGCCACACUGGAACUGAUGCACGGUCCAGACUCCGACGGGAGGCAGCGGUGGAGAAUAGUGCACAAUGGGCGCAAGUCUGAUGCAGCCAUGCGGCGUGUAUGAAGAAGGCCUUCGGGUUGUAAAGUACUUUCAGCGGGGAGGCGUUACCCGCAGAAGAAGCACCGGCUAACUCCGUGCCAGCAGCCGCGGUAAUUC
Molecule: ribosomal RNA, 406 nt
Filed under: uncultured bacterium
Lineage: Bacteria
Description: partial 16S ribosomal RNA
Rfam family: Bacterial small subunit ribosomal RNA
Source: RNAcentral